Molecule: long non-coding RNA, 397 nt
Organism: Aquila chrysaetos chrysaetos
Lineage: Eukaryota; Metazoa; Chordata; Aves; Accipitriformes; Accipitridae
Exons: 4
Source: RefSeq, a predicted model, not a curated record
GGUGUCACUGGCAGAGGGAGCAGCGGCAAAGUUCACUUGACACUCUUCAUCCCCGGCCGCUGCUUCCAGCGCUGAAGGCCUCACCAGGCAUUAAUCAUGCGGAAUUCACUUCCACAAGGGAGUUUCUGAUUUCUCCUUGCCACGUGGAAUGUGAGGACACAAGAACCGCGCUGCAGGGGAUAUCUGGCACAGGACCAACAGCGCUCUCCUAAUGAGAGCAUUGGGGUGUCUUCUCUGCUCCUGCACCAACCUGCCCCGUGCACCGCACCUCGCUCGGACCUUUCUCUGAGGGCAGGCAGAGAGCCGGGCACUGCCCCUUUGGUCUACCAGGAGCGUCAGCUUCUUGGAGGAGACGUUUUUCGGGACGCGGGGCGCUCCGCGGGCGCUUGGAGCGCCG